Molecule: long non-coding RNA, 534 nt
Organism: Lytechinus variegatus (green sea urchin)
Lineage: Eukaryota; Metazoa; Echinodermata; Echinoidea; Temnopleuroida; Toxopneustidae
Exons: 4
Source: RefSeq, a predicted model, not a curated record
AUCAUCAUGAAAACCACCGUAAUUGUCACUUUAACGGUAUGCUGUAUAUUAUACCAAACGACCAGAGCGGCAGUGUUACCUAACAGAGAAAGUCUCUCAAGACAAGACAUUCUAGAUCUUCUCCAGCUAUACGAAGACGGACCACUUAGGCAAGAAGGAAGCAAGAGAUCAAGAGGUUGUGAUAGUUUUGCCGGAUGUUUGUCAAAUACAGUGGCCAGGAACCGAGUAGCUGCUCUUCUAAGAAAUAGUAACGCCCAUCUUUUUGGUCUGAACGGACCCGGAAAGAGGCGAAGAUCGGUCGAUGACGUUGAAAUGAACGAGGCAGAGACAGAGUAAAUUCAACAGCGCCAUCUGUAGUUAUCACACCUUGUUUUUGUCCUGGCUCGUUCCAGCCUUCCUCCUUUCCGUAUUUUCCAUGACCGCCUCUGCCUUUCUCUUUACAAUCGCCCUCUCCUCCUCUCUUUUUAUAACUUCCGGUCUCCAUCCCAUUUCUUUUUCUCUCAACUUUCAUGCAUUCCCACUCUCUCUUGCUCC